UACGUAGGGGGCAAGCGCUGUCCGGAAUCAUUGGGCGUAAAGCGCGUGUAGGCGGUCCGGUAAGUCCGCUGUGAAAGUCGGGGGCUCAACCCUCGGAUGCCGGUGGAUACUGUCGGGCUUGAGUACGGAAGAGGCGAGUGGAAUUCCUGGUGUAGCGGUGAAAUGCGCAGAUAUCAGGAGGAACACCAAUUGCGAAGGCAGCUCGCUGGGACGUUACUGACGCUGAGACGCGAAAGCGUGGGGAGCGAACAGG
Molecule: ribosomal RNA, 253 nt
Filed under: uncultured bacterium
Lineage: Bacteria
Description: partial 16S ribosomal RNA
Rfam family: Bacterial small subunit ribosomal RNA
Source: RNAcentral